Molecule: ribosomal RNA, 778 nt
Filed under: uncultured Neocallimastigales
Lineage: Eukaryota; Fungi; Neocallimastigomycota; Neocallimastigomycetes; Neocallimastigales
Description: partial large subunit ribosomal RNA
Rfam family: Eukaryotic large subunit ribosomal RNA
Source: RNAcentral
UAUCUCUGUAGAGUCUGCAUAUCAAUAAGCGGAGGAAAAGAAACUAACAAGGAUUCCCCUAGUAACGGCGAGUGAAGCGGGAAGAGCUCAAAUUUGAAAUCUUCAAGGUUUGACCUUGACGAAUUGUAGUUUAAAGAAGUGUUUUCGGUUAGAGGAGUAGUAAAAGUUCUUUGGAAUAGGACAUCAUAGAGGGUGAGAAUCCCGUAUUUGACUAUUCUUUCUAGCUUUGUGAUACACUUUCAAAGAGUCGGAUUGUUUGGGAAUGCAGUCCAAAAUGGGUGGUAAAUUUCAUCUAAAGCUAAAUAUUGGCGAGAGACCGAUAGCGAACAAGUACCGUGAGGGAAAGAUGAAAAGAACUUUGAAAAGAGAGUUAAACAGUACGUGAAAUUGUCAAAAGGGAAGCGUUUGACACCAGUGUUGUUUUUCCGAAAAUCAAUUAAAAAUUGAUUCAUGCCAGGUUGUAUUGACCUUAUCAGCUUGCAAUUUGGUUUUGGGUCUCUUUUUGAUGCACUUUUCGGUUAACAAGUCAACAUCAAUUUCCUUUGCUGUAAAAAGGUAAGAGGAAGGUGGCUUGCACUUCGGCUGCAAGUGUUUAUAGCCUUUUAUCUCUGCAGUCGGAGAGAUUGAGGUCUGCAGCGUAGAUCCUUCGGGGUUAGAUACAUUUAUGCUAAGCUAUAGCCUUUUCAUAGACAACUUGUUGACUAUGCUCUAGUCAUGUAGCUUACUCGCUAAGUGCUAUUUUACCUACGCUUAGGAUGUUGACUGAUAUGUAGUCGUA